This 976-nucleotide ribosomal RNA is filed under the name uncultured bacterium. RNAcentral describes it as "bacterial SSU rRNA". It matches the Rfam family "Bacterial small subunit ribosomal RNA", at positions 404 to 1399 of the family's 1533-position model. The record is from RNAcentral.
GAGGAAGUAGGUUUUGGGGAUGUAAACUCCUGUCAUUCGGGAGGAUAAUGACGGUACCUGACAAGGAAGCACCGGCUAACUACGUGCCAGCAGCCGCGGUAAAACGUAGGGUGCAAGCGUUGUUCGGAAUUACUGGGUGUAAAGGGAGCGCAGGCGGAUCCGGCAAGUUGGAAGUGAAAUCCCUGGGCUCAACCCGGGAAUUGCUUUCAGAUACUGGCAACGCUUGAGUAGUGCAGAAGUAGGUGGAAUUCCCGGGGGAGGCGGUGGAAUGCGUUAGAUAUCGGGAGGAACCCCGGUGGUGAAGGCGACCUUUUGGGCACCAACUGACGCUGAGGCUCGAAAGCAUGGGUAGCAAACAGGAUUAGAUACCCUGGUAGUCCAUGCCGUAAAGGAUGAUUACUAGGUGUUGGAGGAUUGACCCCUUCAGUGCCGCAGUUAACACAAUAAGUAAUCCACCUGGGGAGUACGACCGCAAGGUUGAAACUCAAAGGAAUUGACGGGGGCCCGCACAAGCAGUGGAGUAUGUGGUUUAAUUCGAAGCAACGCGAAGAACCUUACCAGGUCUUGACAUCCGAUGCAUAGUGCAGAGAUGCAUGAAGUCCUUCGGGACAUCGAGACAGGUGGUGCAUGGUUGUCGUCAGCUCGUGUCGUGAGAUGUUGGGUUAAGUCCCGCAACGAGCGCAACCCUUAUUGCCAGUUACUACGCAAGAGGACUCUGGCGAGACUGCCGUUGACAAAACGGAGGAAGGUGGGGAUGACGUCAAAUCAUCAUGCCCUUUAUGACCUGGGCUACACACGUACUACAAUGGCGUUUAACAAAGAGAAGCAAGACCGCGGGGUGGAGCAAAACUCAGAAACAACGUCUCAGUUCAGAUUGCAGGCUGCAACUCGCCUGCAUGAAGUCGGAAUUGCUAGUAAUCGCGGAUCAGCAUGCCGCGGUGAAUACGUUCCCGGGCCUUGUACACACCGCCCGUCA